This 253-nucleotide ribosomal RNA is filed under the name uncultured bacterium. Its description in RNAcentral is "partial 16S ribosomal RNA". It matches the Rfam family "Bacterial small subunit ribosomal RNA", at positions 524 to 776 of the family's 1533-position model. The record is from RNAcentral.
UACGUAGGGUGCGAGCGUUGUCCGGAAUUAUUGGGCGUAAAGAGCUCGUAGGCGGUGUGUCGCGUCGGGAGUGAAGACACCGGGCUUAACUCGGUGCUUGCUUUCGAUACGGGCAGACUAGAGGCAUGCAGGGGAGAACGGAAUUCCUGGUGUAGCGGUGAAAUGCGCAGAUAUCAGGAGGAACACCGGUGGCGAAGGCGGUUCUCUGGGCAUGUCCUGACGCUGAGGAGCGAAAGUGUGGGGAGCGAACAGG